This 475-nucleotide ribosomal RNA is filed under the name Mirabilicoxa sp. VTDes175. RNAcentral's name for it is "partial 16S ribosomal RNA". It matches the Rfam family "Bacterial large subunit ribosomal RNA", at positions 1896 to 2597 of the family's 2925-position model. The record is from RNAcentral. Lineage: Eukaryota; Metazoa; Arthropoda; Malacostraca; Isopoda; Desmosomatidae.
CUGAAGUAGUCUCUGCUCCAUCUUACUUGAAAUAGCCGCAGUAUCUUGACUGUGCUAAGGUAGCAUAAUAAUUUGCCUUUUGAUUGAAGGCUGGCAUAAACGAGGUGACGGCACUAAAGCUUUCCUUGAGAUUUAAACUAGAACUUGAUAUCUGCUUCAAAAAGAGCAGCUUACCGGGGGGACGAUAAGACCCUGUAAAACUUUAUUUUAAAGUUAUUUAAUAAUUUUGAAAAGCAUUAAAUAACAUUCAAAAUUGAGCUGGGGCGGCAUUUAAUUUAACCUUAAUAAAUACAACAACUAUAGUUGACACUACAGAUCUCUUAAAAGAUUUAGAACAAGUUACUUCAGGGAUAACAGCACAAUUCUCCCGGAUAGACCGCAUAGAUGGGAGAGACUUGUGACCUCGAUGUUGAAUUGAAGGGCCAUAUCUGCGUAGCAGCAGUUAGAAGGGGGUCUGUUCGACCUUAAAAACUUC